UACCUGGUUGAUCCUGCCAGUAGUCAUAUGCUUGUCUCAAAGAUUAAGCCAUGCAUGUCUAAGUACAUGCCGAAACAAGGCGAAACCGCGAAUGGCUCAUUAAAUCAGUUAUGGUUCCUUAGAUCGUUUCUUCCUACUUGGAUAACUGUGGCAAUUCUAGAGCUAAUACAUGCAGUGAGCCCGAAGCCCCUCGGGGCGACGGGUGCUUUUAUUAGACCAAGAUCAAUCGGGCUUCGGUCCGUUUUGUGUGGUGACUCUGGAUAACUUUGUGCUGAUCGCACGGCCACGAGCCGGCGACGUUUCUUUCAAGUGUCUGCCUUAUCAACUGUCGAUGGUAGGUUAUGCGCCUA
This 350-nucleotide non-coding RNA is filed under the name Ixodes scapularis (black-legged tick). Its description in RNAcentral is "Eukaryotic small subunit ribosomal RNA". It matches the Rfam family "Eukaryotic small subunit ribosomal RNA", at positions 1 to 343 of the family's 1831-position model. The record is from Rfam by way of RNAcentral. Lineage: Eukaryota; Metazoa; Arthropoda; Arachnida; Ixodida; Ixodidae.